GCCGAAGUGGCGGAAUGGCAGACGCGACGGAUUCAAAAUCCGUUAUUCGAAAGGGUGUGUGGGUUCAAGUCCCACCUUCGGCA
RNAcentral lists this transfer RNA (83 nucleotides) under Polyangiaceae bacterium. RNAcentral describes it as "tRNA-Leu". It matches the Rfam family "tRNA". From Rfam's summary of the family: Transfer RNA (tRNA) molecules are approximately 80 nucleotides in length. Their secondary structure includes four short double-helical elements and three loops (D, anti-codon, and T loops). Further hydrogen bonds mediate the characteristic L-shaped molecular structure. tRNAs have two regions of fundamental functional importance: the anti-codon, which is responsible for specific mRNA codon recognition, and the 3' end, to which the tRNAs corresponding amino acid is attached (by aminoacyl-tRNA synthetases). tRNAs cope with the degeneracy of the genetic code in two manners: having more than one tRNA (with a specific anti-codon) for a particular amino acid; and 'wobble' base-pairing, i.e. permitting non-standard base-pairing at the 3rd anti-codon position. The record is from RNAcentral. Lineage: Bacteria; Pseudomonadati; Myxococcota; Polyangiales; Polyangiaceae.